AACGAACGCUGGCGGCGCGCCUAAUACAUGCAAGUCGAGCGAGAAGACGUAGCAAUACGUUUGUAAAGCGGCGAACGGGUGAGGAAUACAUGGGUAACCUACCCUCGAGUGGGGAAUAACUAGCCGAAAGGUUAGCUAAUACCGCGUACGCUCCUUGGACUUCGGUUCAGGGAGGAAAGCGAUACCGUGGGUAUCGCGCUCUUGGAUGGGCUCAUGUCCUAUCAGCUUGUUGGUGAGGUAACGGCUCACCAAGGCUUCGACGGGUAGCUGGUCUGAGAGGACGAUCAGCCACACUGGCACUGCGACACGGGCCAGACUCCUACGGAGGCAGCAGUAAGGAAUAUUGCGCAAUGGGCGAAAGCCUGACGCAGCGACGCCGCGUGGGGGA
RNAcentral lists this ribosomal RNA (388 nucleotides) under uncultured bacterium. Its description in RNAcentral is "bacterial SSU rRNA". It matches the Rfam family "Bacterial small subunit ribosomal RNA", at positions 29 to 408 of the family's 1533-position model. The record is from RNAcentral.